Molecule: long non-coding RNA, 1020 nt
Organism: Alexandromys fortis (reed vole)
Lineage: Eukaryota; Metazoa; Chordata; Mammalia; Rodentia; Cricetidae
Exons: 3
Source: RefSeq, a predicted model, not a curated record
UGGCCUGGCCUUGUCACUCAGCUCUCCCAGAUCACACGUAUCUCAACCUCAGUACAGGCCCUUCCGGAAACUGACUAUCUGAGUGGCAAUGUGCUCGCUGAGGUCAGACCUCUCAGUCUGUCCUACUGGGCGCCAUUUCCUAGGCCUUUCUGCUGUUUGCUUUGAUUUGGCAGUUCUGGUUUUAUUGUUGUUUUUCAUGUGUGUAGGCUUUUGGUUCUUUUGUUUUUUUUGGGGGACAGGGUCUGGGCUCAGGGCUGGGCUCAUAGCAAAACAUCUUCUGCACUUGCACUUCUGAUAGUCCUGUGUCUACCUCUUGAAUUCUAGAAUUAAAGGUGUGCACUAUUUUAUUGUUUAUGAGAUACUGGGCUUGAGCCCAGGGGCUCUGGCAUGCUACUCAAACAUUCUACUAACCCUGACAGUCUUAGUACCUUUAGACCUUUCUAGAUUCCCGUGAUGCUUUCUCACUUUCCUUCAAAAGAUUCAUCUUCAAAGAUUAAUCCAUACUGGCUAUCCAUGAAAAAACGUUUGGCUGAAUGCUGACCGUGUAGCUCAGACUGGUGUGGUCUCAAAAUCAUGGCCUCAAACACAUUGAGAUCCACCUGCCUCUGUCUCCCGAGUGCUGGAAUUAAAGGUGUGUACCACCACCAUCCGGCAGGAUUUGUUUUUUUAACCAUCCAUCUUGCCAAGUCAGGGUUUCACUGUCUACAUCUGGCUGGCCUGGAACUAUGUUGUGGACCAGGCCAACUUUGAACUCACAGAGACUUACUUGCUCUGCUGGGAUUGAAGAGAAUACCCUCGGCUUUCCCCUACUUUCCACCUGGAAUGAACGCGACACUGUCACCUGGAUCUGCACUCCUGGAGUCAGCACUGGGAAGGCUGAGACAAGAGGACCAUCUCAAGUUCAAGAGCACACUAAGUGACAUAGUGAGUACCGGGUCUCUCUCUCUCUCACUAUCACUACACAUGUGUCCACACACGUGAAUGCAUACACAUGACACACACACACCACACAAACUCAUG